CGACAGGCUUAACACAUGCAAGUCGAGGGGCAGCACAGGUAGCAAUACCGGGUGGCGACCGGCGCACGGGUGAGUAACGCGUAUGCAACUUGCCUAUCAGAGGGGGAUAACCCGGCGAAAGUCGGACUAAUACCGCAUGAAGCAGGGGCCCCGCAUGGGGAUAUUUGCUAAAGAUUCAUCGCUGAUAGAUAGGCAUGCGUUCCAUUAGGCAGUUGGCGGGGUAACGGCCCACCAAACCGACGAUGGAUAGGGGUUCUGAGAGGAAGGUCCCCCACAUUGGUACUGAGACACGGACCAAACUCCUACGGGAGGCAGCAGUGAGGAAUAUUGGUCAAUGGCCGAGAGGCUGAACCAGCCAAGUCGCGUGAGGGAUGAAGGUUCUAUGGAUCGUAAACCUCUUUUAUAAGGGAAUAAAGUGCGGGACGUGUCCCGUUUUGUAUGUACCUUAUGAAUAAGGAUCGGCUAACUCCGUGCCAGCAGCCGCGGUAAUACGGAGGAUCCGAGCGUUAUCCGGAUUUAUUGGGUUUAAAGGGUGCGUAGGCGGCCUUUUAAGUCAGCGGUGAAAGUCUGUGGCUCAACCAUAGAAUUGCCGUUGAAACUGGGGGGCUUGAGUAUGUUUGAGGCAGGCGGAAUGCGUGGUGUAGCGGUGAAAUGCAUAGAUAUCACGCAGAACCCCGAUUGCGAAGGCAGCCUGCCAAGCCAUUACUGACGCUGAUGCACGAAAGCGUGGGGAUCAAACAGGAUUAGAUACCCUGGUAGUCCACGCAGUAAACGAUGAUCACUAGCUGUUUGCGAUACACUGUAAGCGGCACAGCGAAAGCGUUAAGUGAUCCACCUGGGGAGUACGCCGGCAACGGUGAAACUCAAAGGAAUUGACGGGGGCCCGCACAAGCGGAGGAACAUGUGGUUUAAUUCGAUGAUACGCGAGGAACCUUACCCGGGUUUGAACGCAUUCGGACCGAGGUGGAAACACCUUUUCUAGCAAUAGCCGUUUGCGAGGUGCUGCAUGGUUGUCGUCAGCUCGUGCCGUGAGGUGUCGGCUUAAGUGCCAUAACGAGCGCAACCCUUGCCACUAGUUACUAACAGGUUAGGCUGAGGACUCUGGUGGGACUGCCAGCGUAAGCUGCGAGGAAGGCGGGGAUGACGUCAAAUCAGCACGGCCCUUACAUCCGGGGCGACACACGUGUUACAAUGGCGUGGACAAAGGGAUGCCACCUGGCGACAGGGAGCGAAUCCCCAAACCACGUCUCAGUUCGGAUCGGAGUCUGCAACCCGACUCCGUGAAGCUGGAUUCGCUAGUAAUCGCGCAUCAGCCAUGGCGCGGUGAAUACGUUCCCGGGCCUUGUACACACCGCCCGUCAAGCCAUGGGAGCCGGGGGUACCUGAAGUCCGUAACCGAAAGGAUCGGCCUAGGGUAAAACUGGUGACUG
This 1430-nucleotide ribosomal RNA is filed under the name uncultured organism. RNAcentral's name for it is "16S ribosomal RNA". It matches the Rfam family "Bacterial small subunit ribosomal RNA". The record is from RNAcentral.